Long non-coding RNA from Cyprinus carpio carpio, 366 nucleotides. NCBI's taxonomy places the organism in Eukaryota, Metazoa, Chordata, Actinopteri, Cypriniformes, Cyprinidae. The record is from Ensembl.
CUGGAAUUUCUGCAUCAUUACGCCAGUCUUCGGUCUCUGGGGCAACUAACGGAGACAGUUGAGCAGCAGACAUCCACUUGUAUGUAGGGACAUACUUCAUGGCUCGAUGGGAAAUCUCCAGUCUCAUGUGGAAGAAGGAGAGAGAGAGAUUAACAUUAUCUAAUGGCUUCAGAAGAUUUCAGAAUACUUCACAUGGACCACUUUAUGGUCCUUUUAUGGUGACAGUCCAGCCCUCAUCCAUCAUUAAAGGGGAAAAAGCAGCCUGAACAUAUUGCUAAAUAGCUACAGCUUUGUGUUUCACAGAAAAGAGAGCAAGUCUAACAGAUUUGGAAUGACGUAAAGGGGAAUAAAUGAUGAAAGGCCAAA